GCAAUUUCUCUUUGGUUGCACCUGCUUCUUGCAAGGUUGCUUUGGAUUGCACCUGUUUCAUGUUUUCAAAUAAAGAACAAUUGUUAGUUUGAAAUGGUGGUUGGUUUUGUUGCCUUGAUUGUUUCAAUCACUUGAUCUUUGCCUGGCUUCUUUGAUUAGGAUCUCAAAUGCAACUGCUCGUUUACUGGGGACCGAUUUCAUUUCAGGCCCUAAGAACCUCUGGUUUUUCUAGAUUUUGCCAUGACGGUUGGUCGGUGGAACUCAACCUUUUCGACUUUAUUUUGCCUUCGUAGUCCUUUCCCUUUUGACUUCCUUUCUUUUUUAUUUUUUUUUCUCUCUUUUUUUUCUCUUAUUUUUUUUUAAAAACAAAUUUUGGAGCAUUAGGGACUUUUGGCUCCUCAAACUUUGUCGCAACGGCUAGUCACGUGGGACUUAACUUUUUCCAACUUUAUUUUGCCUUCGUAGGCCUUUCAUUUCUGGCUUCUUUCUUCCAACUUUAAAUUAAGAUCAUUUGGGUACCUUGGCUUUUCAAACUUUUGCCGAGAUGGUUGACCACGUGAAACUCAACUUUUUCAGCUUCAUUUGCCUUUAUAGGCACUUCAAUUUUAUUUUCUCCUUCUAAGAGUUUUGAUUUCGAUGUAUCGGCUGUCAUGGCCAGUCGAGGCCGACUUACCCCUGACGAGGCUGGGUGCCUUUUGCAUAUUAGCUUGUAUCAAAUGUGAACCCUAUAAAUCAGUCUUACCAUCCUUUAUUUGUCUUAGUUUCAGAACAGAGUUAGACCUAAUGGGAUUCAAAGAAAACAAAAAAUGGAAUGGAGAAUGGGUUUAAAACAAGAAGUGUCCCGUUCGGGGAAAGGAAAGAAGUACUUAUCUGGAGUACAUGCGGACUUCAAUGAACAUGACAUGCCUUUUGGAAUAGAUGUCUGAUCUGUGUAAACCGUCCGACUCUCAUAAAUUCAUCACACCUUUUGCCUCAAAAUCGAGAAACCUAGCUAGGACUUUGUCGAUACCGAUGGCUGUGAGAAUCCUCUUUUCGAUCAAGGGCGCCCUUUGCGGGUUUUCAUGAGCUGACCUCUCUCAUUUCUCUACUCACCAUCGCCUUAUAGUGCUCUUUGCAAGUUUUCACUAACAAGACUCUAUCAUUUUGAUUUCUUUGCUUAUUGUCGCCUUACGAUGCCUGUGUGGGUUUUCACCAAUAAGACUAUCUCAUUUUGACUGUAUCGGAUCUGAGUAACUGUAUUCUUUGGUCCUUGAACAUUCUCAUCGAUUGAUCGGAAGGACUUGAACAAGGUUUGGGUAAAAAAGGAUUUGGAUUGAGUUACAACUUUGGAACCUUUUGGGGGGGGGGGGAUCAUCGCCGAACCAUUAUAACAUCUGCCCCAGUUUCACUUUUUGGGGGGAUUUGAAUUUUUAUUUUGGUGUGACUGAACCUCAGAGAGGCUGGCUACGUAUCCUUUCAGAAUCAAGUCGAACGUAGUUCAGGAAACUUUGUUUUUUGAUUUUCUUUUAUUUUUCUGUUUUGUUUUGUUUUCUCUUUCUUUUUCCUGUCCUUUUUCAUUCAUUUUCUUUGUUUUUUUCUUCCACCCUUUUUUCCCUCUCUUUUUAUUAUUAUUUUUUCAAAACCUUUUUUGUAAUAGCACUUUCAGGUUCCAAAGAGGGUAAUCAAAGAAGAGUAACCGACUCAAAGGGUUUGCAAAGGGUUGAUAGUGUUUGGGUAGCGAAAAUGAAAGUCAUCGUCAUCCCAACCGGAGAAUAUUAAUAUUAUAUGGAGGAUCAAACAUAGUACCUUUUGGCUGCAUUUGCAUUGACAGUUGUUACAGGGACAUUUCCUUCGAUGUGUCCCAAGUACAAUGCACUCUUUUAGCAAUACUCUUGUUGCAAUAUACGGACCUUUCCAAACUGAAGCCAAUUUUCCUUUAGUUGUUCCAACUCUUUGUUUUAUUUCCUUUAACUUAUCUUCAUUGAAAUUUGAUUUUUGAUUCAUUAUUUCGAAGUCUGAUAGUGUUUUAGUAUCUGGGUAUGAAGUCCGAAAGCAUGUCAUGUUAUUGAAAUAGGCAUUUAACAGAACUAAAAAGAGAAUAAGGAAAAUGACAAGAUUAAGAAANNNNNNNNNNNNNNNNNNNNNNNNNNNNNNNNNNNNNNNNNNNNNNNNNNNNNNNNNNNNNNNNNNNNNNNNNNNNNNNNNNNNNNNNNNNNNNNNNNNNNNNNNNNNNNNNNNNNNNNNNNNNNNNNNNNNNNNNNNNNNNNNNNNNNNNNNNNNNNNNNNNNNNNNNNNNNNNNNNNNNNNNNNNNNNNNNNNNNNNNNNNNNNNNNNNNNNNNNNNNNNNNNNNNNNNNNNNNNNNNNNNNNNNNNNNNNNNNNNNNNNNNNNNNNNNNNNNNNNNNNNNNNNNNNNNNNNNNNNNNNNNNNNNNNNNNNNNNNNNNNNNNNNNNNNNNNNNNNNNNNNNNNNAAAACAUCCGGAUCACACCUUGAGAUAAUCCGGGCGCAGAAAGGAUAGCAAGACUGGAUACCGAGACUCCCGUUUGAUAGGUAACUUUCAGGCUUGGCGAUCGUCUUUAGGCUUUUCUUAUGUUUCGGCAAUGGCUGCAACGGCCUUCAGUGCCAGAUCAAAUUUCUUAGCUUCUCAAAUCAUUCCGACUAUUGGCCCGAUGUUGUGGGCAGGCAACAGAUUGUCAUUCACAUCAGGAGCUUCUUCAUCCCGAAAAAUGAUUAUUUCAGUUUCAAUCAAAUCUUCGACUGCCCUUUUGAGGGUCCAACAGUCCUCGGUACUGUGUCCCACUACUCCAGAGUGGUAUUCACAUCUAGCAUCAGCUCGGUGCGAGGGGGACUCGGGGUUUGGCCGGUUCGGGGCCAUUGGCUGCAAUAGUUCUAGCCUGAUAAGCUUUUGAAACAAGCUUGAAUACGAUUCACCAAUAGGGGUGAACUGACUCUUUCUGAAAGGUUCUCUAGGCUGAGGAUUGUAUUAGGGAUCAUUUAGUUGAGGAUUAUAUGGAGCUUGGUAAGGAUGGGCAUUUCUGGGAGGUGGAACUCGAUUUUGUGUAUAAUGUUAUGGCUGGGUGUAAGAUUGCGCGCUCAUCACCGUAUACAGAGGCGGUGCCACGACAUAAGCAUCAUCUUGAAGGGGAUAAUAGUGUGGUGGGACCAUAGGAGGCACAUAUGACUGGUGAAUGACCUGCGGGUCCCCCUCGAGCUUGAAACCAUUAUGGCUCCCUCCUCACUCCCAUUGUUGUUCAUCAAACCCUCCGAACCAUUUUGAACAUCUGGUGAUGUGGCUUUAAAAGCAGCAUGACCCAAGAUUUGGCCCAUUUUUAGAACGUUUUCAACCAUUUCCGCAAUUUUGAUAGCCUCAGCGAACGACUUACCCACAACAGACAUCAUGCUCCGGAAGUAGUCAGCCUCUUGGGCCUGCAGAAAAACCAUGACCAUUUUAGUUUCAUCCAUUGGAGGUUUUACCCUGGCAACUUGCUCACGCCAUUUGACAGUAUAUUCGCGGAAGUUUUCCGCGGUUUUCUUUUUCAAAUUGGACAAAGAGUUUCUAUCGGGAGCGAUAUCCACAUUAUAUUAGAACUGGCGGACAAAAUCUCAGGCCAUAUCGUCUCACACAUGCCAAUUGGUAGUUUCUUGAUCCAUAUACCACUCAGAAGCGAUUCAAGUAAGGCUUUCACCAAAAUAGGCAAUUAGCAGCUCCUCUUUUCCACCAGCACCCCUUAACUGGUUACAGUAUCAUUUCAGAUGAGCGACCGGGUCUCCGUGCCUAUUGCACUUUUCAAAUUUUGGCAUCUUGAAGCCAGCUGGCAAGUGGAUUUGAAGCCAGCUGGUAAGUGGACAUGGGGAAACAUACAGAGGUCAGAGUAUGCGACACUCUUUUGGCCAUUCAGACCUUGCAUGUUUUUCAGGCGUUGUUCCAGGCUCUUCAUCUUCCGAGACAUUUCCUCUUGCUCAGGAUUUUUAAUGAACUUUUCUUUCUCCACUGAGAGAUCACAUUGUGGAGGUUGAGUGAAUGAGUUUGGGGUCACAUAUGUCAUUUAUGAUUGAAGUUGUGGACCCUCAAAGGUGAACAUUGGAGGCUCAACAUACGGCCGUGGUAAAGUUAGUUGUGCUCUGGUGCAGACUGGUGCUGUAGAGAACAAUAUUGGAGGUGCCCAGGAAACUGGCGCCUGGGGGAGAACCACAGAAGGCAUUCCGGGAUCAUCGAACGGGAAGGUGCCCGCAUGGGAUAAGCGAGUUGGGCACAGGGGCGUUGGUAACCUCGCUUGACCUGGGGAUCAACUCAGGGAACCCAAGAAUUGCAGCGGUUCCCUACCAUUAGACCAUGACGCCGCAUGAAUCAGAUCUUGCGUAGUUCGGGAAGAUUGGGAAUGGAGUAAAUAAACUAACUCUUUUUUUUUUUUUACUUUUUGUAAAACUUAGACCAUGAAAGCUUUAAGGCAAAAGAAAAUCAUUUUUGAUUUUUUUCGAUUUUUUUUCUUUUCUUUUCUUUUGCUUUUCUUUUUGAAAUUUUGAAAAGAAAUACUUUAAAAGAAGAAAGAAAAUAUUUUUUUGGAUUUUUGAUUUUGAUUUUGAUUUUAUUAUUUUAUUUUUGAAAGAAAGACUUCUAAAAAUCCCUUUUCUUUUGAUUUAAUUUUUGGGAAUUUCAAAAGUAAAAAAGAAAAUAUUUUUGUUAGAAUUUUCAUUUUUUUUUAUAUUUUUCUAAAGGAGAAAGAAAAUAUUUUCAGAUUUUUGAUGUUGCCUCUUAAUUUUCAAAAGAAGGACUCUUUUAAGAAAAAGGUAUUUUGAAUUUCUGAUUUUUUAUUUUUAUUUACAAAAGUACUUCUAAAGAAAAGCAAAAAUAUUUUUGGACUUCAAUUUUUCAAAUUUUUUUUUGACAUUUACGAAAGAAAUACUUUUAAAGAAAGAAAAGAAUAUUUCCCCCUUUUUUUGGUUUUUUUUUAAUUUUUUGGAAAAAUACUUCAAAAUAAAGGAAACCUGUAUUUCGGAUUUUUAUUCUUUUUCAUUUUUCUUUUUAUUUCUUUUUUCCCAUAUGAAAGACUUCAGAAAGAAGGAAACUAUUUUUGAUUUUAAAAACAUCUUUUUUUUGAAUUUUCUAUGGAAAGAUUUCUAAAGAAGGAACUAAAAGAAAAUAUUUUUGGAUUUUUGAAAAUUGGGGCCGAAACCGAUGAGGUUUGCCGACGUAUCUUACAUCCGGUGAAAAUCAGACCCAUGUAGUUCUGUCAAUUUUGAUGGAACAAGGGAAACAUGGCACUUGAAAAUUUUGGCUCAUUUUGAAAUGACAUUUUUUCAGAAUUUCGGAAGAGUUUCAGGAUUUUCAGAAUUUUGGAAGAGUUUCAGGAUUUUCUAAAGAAGGAACUAAAAGAUGUGCAUUUAAAAACAUCUUUUUUUUUCUUUCCCUAUUCUAGAAGUCGGUCAACAUGCUAACUGAAUCGAACAAAUUCGCAAGUAGCACAUAAGAUGCAUCAGGAUGGUCUUUUAAUCUUUGGGUACACCUGUCCUAGACAGACCCAACCCCUGUGUUGAGUCCCCAAAGUCAAAUGCACGUGAUGCAAACAAGCGUUCCUACUAGGGAUCCAGUAUGAAGUUAUGUUAUUCUAGGUUUAAAAACCUGGGUGUAUUGUUCUAGACCUGGCUUACCCGAGUGGAUAGCUUGAGCAGGGGGGAGCAGCGUUCCGGGAAUACAGAAGCUUCACCUGCUUUGCUACUUGUCCGAACCUCGUUCUAAAAGUGGGAUAUGACUCUAACAGAAAAAAAAGUCACACGAAGUGCACACUUCCCAGAUGAUUGAGAAGACUCAGAGAGAAGAGGGUUUCGUAACAAUUUAUAUACAGUUCAAACAAUAUCAAAGCGGUAAAAAACGACAUUUAGCACAUUAGGCUUAAACAUGUAGAAAUUAGAUAAUAAAUAAAGCCAAGUAUAACAAUUAUUCUAAGCUCGAAUUCUAAACCUUGAACUAGAAGUUCUGGAUUCUUUUACCCAGUAGAGUCGCCAGAGUUGUCACAGCUCCUUUCACACCCCGAGAAGGGUCUAUGGGAGUUUUUUCAAUUAAAGUGACAUUAUAUGAAAUGGGAUUAUUUUAUUUAUUUUCAGAGUCGCCACUUGGAAUAGUUUAUUUGGUGUCCUAAGUCACCAAUUUAUUUUAAAAUCCCAAUCGAAGAAAUUUCGAAUUUAUUUAAAAGUCUGCGAACCUGAAAUUCUAAGUAAGAAAUUUUGUUAACCGAGAGAAGGUGUUAGGCAUUCCUCGGUUCCGUGGUUCUAGCACGGUAGCUUAAACUAUUAAUAUUGGCCUAUUAUUUGAUUUAUUACAUGUUUUAAACCUAUUGUGUAUUUUUGACUUUUAUAAUCGCCUUUUAUUUAUUUUAAAACCGCUUUUAGGAUUUAUGGAAUUAUUUUCUGAACAAGUUACGAUUGUCAUACACUUGUUUGAUUUGGAACACGCCACGAACUACGCAACAUGAAAUGCACCCGCGAUUCACGACAUGCUUAUUUUAUUAUUAAUGUUCGAAGUUGUUACGAUCGGGUCACAUAAAAUGCACACCCGAUUUUGGGGAUUAGGUAUCAUAACAAUGUCACGGGAACCGUACCCAUAGUCACGGUGAUUUUAUUAUAAACAUGCCUAAACCAAACUACGAAUGUUUCAAGUGUUUUAUACACUAGUUUUGUAUUUAUGUGAGGGCCAUGGAUUACAGGAUUCAUUUGUAGAUGACAUGCCUCAAUAUUUUUUAAAAGAUUUGUACUCAAUUAAGGCAAACUAUGGAUGUUCAUAUGAUUCGCUAGCUUAAUAUUGACAGUUGUGAAUGGGAUAAAUAGUUAUGUCCAAACAUUCUACUUCAAACACACAAAUAGUUCUCAAUGACCAUAGUCUCUAACUUGCGUCAAUUCUUUUGAUAACAAUCCUAAGCACACAGUACUUGAGGCAAAUUAAACCCCCACUACACAAAAAAUUCUCUGUAUGGAACACUUAAGGGAAAUUUUUUCCUUCUCAUUCAUUAUUAAAGAAUUGACGUAAAUAAGAGUAUAUAAAAUUCCAAUAGAGAGGAAAUCUGAUUAAAACACACAGGAAAUGGCAAAUAUCAACAAAUUACUGCCUAGAGUUCUUCGUAUUAAGUAAAGAGUACGUAAAUCACACAUAACAUACUAAAUUAGUGCAUUUCCUACGAGAUAGAAUUCUUCUAACUGUAGCCUUUUAUUUUCACCACUGUUGCCUAGAAGUUUGGUAAAUUAAAAUGCUUCUAAAUAUUCGGUAGCAACAAGCAACAACAUUUAUAUCAAGUUCCGCUAGCAUCUUCACAAUGAUAAUCCUAAUGUUCAUAAAAACAGUCAAACAGACCCAAAAUAUAAAUUUUGAGAUUUACUCUAGACUUUUGUUAAAUAUCCUAGAUGAAUAAUUAUUUAUAGCGGCUAAAAAUUUAGACAUGAGAAAAAUUUCAACUACACAGCCAAAACAAUUCAGAAUAAUUCUUUGACUAAGCUUCAAGGCAUUCCUAGCAAUCACUAAUAUCCAACUUAAAUCUUCAAAUUUAAAUACUUAAACCGAACAAAUCAGAUGGAGAAGAAUCUAGUAGCCAACAUUUCAUUGUAAGUCAAAAAGGAAAUACAAUUUGAGAUAUGUACCUAAUUUCUCAUGAACUGACUAAGAUUUAACAAACAAAGGCCAGGUGAAGGAAGGUUGGAACUCAGCAAAGCAGAAAAUCCACAAAUACAGCAUAUACAGCAGCAACACAGUGAUGCCGGACUCAACUUUCGUCCAAAAAUAGCUCGAAUCAUAACUGGUUUGGAGCUUUCUUCAUCUGCAUUCACUUGUAGCAGUGAGCAAAUAAUGGAUGAUGAGUGAUUUUCCGACAAAAAUAAGAACAAAACCGGUCAGAUCUUGUUAGAUAUGAAACACCAUUAGUGAACAAAAUGGGAGCUGCAAUUUCGCCGACUUCCAAUGAGUUUCAUUGCCAUAGAAAUAGGGGUGAAAGAAAUAUAAGAAUAGGGGUGUUCUUUGGUGUGAAGAAUAGGGGUCUGGUUUGCGUUCUUCGCAUAGAAUUUUGAGAAAUGAAAGAAGAAGAAGAAAAGAGCUCUUGAGCGCCGUUUCUAUGGUUUUUUGGGAGGGAUCCGGUCUUCUAGUUCUUCUCUUGUAAUUUUUGAUGAAGAAAAAGAAGAUAAGGAGCGCCAUUUGUUUGAAAGAGAAAGGGAUCUGAUUUCUAUCGCUUAGGUGUAGGAAAGGACUGGGGAAUGAUUUAGG
This 8221-nucleotide long non-coding RNA is filed under the name Nicotiana tabacum (common tobacco). Its description in RNAcentral is "long non-coding RNA (NTAB_LNC014776)". Lineage: Eukaryota; Viridiplantae; Streptophyta; Magnoliopsida; Solanales; Solanaceae. The record is from RNAcentral.